Molecule: ribosomal RNA, 277 nt
Filed under: Carapoia brescoviti
Lineage: Eukaryota; Metazoa; Arthropoda; Arachnida; Araneae; Pholcidae
Description: partial 12S ribosomal RNA
Source: RNAcentral
UAAAUUAAAGAAACUCGUUUUAUAAUCGAUAAAGCCCGAUCAUUUUCACUUAAUAACAUUUACAUAAUUUAUAUACCGCCGUUAUUUAGAAAUUACACAAACAAAACAUCAAAAUCAAUACUUUCACAAAAAUCAGGUCAAGGUGUAAUUAAUAUUUAAGAAAAAAUAAGUUACACUUAAAAAAGAUUUAAGGAUAAAAAAAUUAAAUUUUUUAAGAAAAAGAAUUUAUAAUUAAUUAUGGGCUAAAAUCCCAUAUAGAAAACAUAUACUAUAAUGC